CUUUCAACAACGGAUCUCUUGGUUCUGGCAUCGAUGAAGAACGCAGCGAAAUGCGAUAAGUAAUGUGAAUUGCGGAAUUCAGUGAAUCAUCGAAUCUUUGAACGCACAUUGCGCCCCCUGGCCAUUCCGGGGGGCAUGCCUGUUCGAGCGUC
This 152-nucleotide ribosomal RNA is filed under the name Umbilicaria umbilicarioides. RNAcentral describes it as "5.8S ribosomal RNA". It matches the Rfam family "5.8S ribosomal RNA". Rfam says of the family: 5.8S ribosomal RNA (5.8S rRNA) is a component of the large subunit of the eukaryotic ribosome. Lineage: Eukaryota; Fungi; Ascomycota; Lecanoromycetes; Umbilicariales; Umbilicariaceae. The record is from RNAcentral.